GAAUUCACUAGUGAUUCAGGCCUAACACAUGCAAGUCGAGCGAUUCUCUUCGGAGAAGAGCGGCGGACGGGUGAGUAACGCGUGGGUAACCUGCCCUGUACACACGGAUAACAUACCGAAAGGUAUGCUAAUACGAGAUAAUAUGCUUUUAUCGCAUGGUAGAAGUAUCAAAGCUCCGGCGGUACAGGAUGGACCCGCGUCUGAUUAGCUAGUUGGUGAGGUAACGGCUCACCAAGGCGACGAUCAGUAGCCGACCUGAGAGGGUGAUCGGCCACAUUGGAACUGAGACACGGUCCAAACUCCUACGGGAGGCAGCAGUGGGGAAUAUUUCAAAAGGGGCGAAAGCCUGAUGCAGCAACGCCG
This 363-nucleotide ribosomal RNA is filed under the name uncultured bacterium. Its description in RNAcentral is "bacterial SSU rRNA". It matches the Rfam family "Bacterial small subunit ribosomal RNA", at positions 46 to 392 of the family's 1533-position model. The record is from RNAcentral.